This 447-nucleotide ribosomal RNA is filed under the name uncultured bacterium. RNAcentral describes it as "bacterial SSU rRNA". It matches the Rfam family "Bacterial small subunit ribosomal RNA", at positions 355 to 825 of the family's 1533-position model. The record is from RNAcentral.
UGGGGAAUCUUGGACAAUGGGCGCAAGCCUGAUCCAGCCAUGCCGCGUGAGUGAUGAAGGCCUUAGGGUUGUAAAGCUCUUUUGCCGGGGACGAUAAUGACGGUACCCGGAGAAUAAGUCCCGGCUAACUUCGUGCCAGCAGCCGCGGUAAUACGAAGGGGACUAGCGUUGUUCGGAAUCACUGGGCGUAAAGCGCACGUAGGCGGAUUUGUAAGUCAGGGGUGAAAUCCCGGGGCUCAACCUCGGAACUGCCUUUGAUACUGCGGAUCUCGAGUCCGAUAGAGGUGAGUGGAAUUCCUAGUGUAGAGGUGAAAUUCGUAGAUAUUAGGAAGAACACCGGUGGCGAAGGCGGCUCACUGGAUCGGUACUGACGCUGAGGUGCGAAAGCGUGGGGAGCAAACAGGAUUAGAUACCCGAGUAGUCCCUGAGCGGGCUGGCAAGGCGCAU